GAGUUUGAUCGUGGCUCAGGAUGAACGCUGGCGGCGUGCUUAACACAUGCAAGUCGAACGAAGCACUUUAUUACGAUUUCUUCGGAAUGACGAUUUAGUGACUGAGUGGCGGACGGGUGAGUAACGCGUGGGUAACCUGCCUCAUACAGGGGGAUAACAGUUGGAAACGGCUGCUAAUACCGCAUAAGCACACAGCAUCGCAUGGUGCAGUGUGAAAAACUCCGGUGUAUGAGAUGGACCCGGUCU
This 246-nucleotide ribosomal RNA is filed under the name uncultured bacterium. Its description in RNAcentral is "partial 16S ribosomal RNA". It matches the Rfam family "Bacterial small subunit ribosomal RNA", at positions 9 to 238 of the family's 1533-position model. The record is from RNAcentral.